GGUUAAGCGACUAAGCGUACACGGUGGAUGCCCUGGCAGUCAGAGGCGAUGAAGGACGUGCUAAUCUGCGAAAAGCGCCGGCGAGGUGAUAUGAACCCUUGACCCGGCGAUGUCCGAAUGGGGAAACCCAGUGUGAUUCGUCACACUAUCGUUAACUGAAUACAUAGGUUAACGAGGCGAACCGGGGGAACUGAAACAUCUAAGUACCCCGAGGAAAAGAAAUCAACCGAGAUUCCCCCAGUAGCGGCGAGCGAACGGGGAGCAGCCCAGAGUCUGAAUCAGCUUGUGUGUUAGUGGAAGCGUCUGGAAAGUCGCACGGUACAGGGUGAAAGUCCCGUACACGAAAAUGCACAGGCUGUGAACUCGAAGAGUAGGGCGGGACACGUGGUAUCCUGUCUGAAUAUGGGGGGACCAUCCUCCAAGGCUAAAUACUCCUGACUGACCGAUAGUGAACCAGUACCGUGAGGGAAAGGCGAAAAGAACCCCGGCGAGGGGAGUGAAAAAGAACCUGAAACCGUGUACGUACAAGCAGUGGGAGCACCUUCGGGUGUGACUGCGUACCUUUUGUAUAAUGGGUCAGCGACUUAUAUUCUGUAGCAAGGUUAACCGUAUAGGGGAGCCGAAGGGAAACCGAGUCUUAACUGGGCGUUAAGUUGCAGGGUAUAGACCCGAAACCCGGUGAUCUAGCCAUGGGCAGGUUGAAGGUUGGGUAACACUAACUGGAGGACCGAACCGACUAAUGUUGAAAAAUUAGCGGAUGACCUGUGGCUGGGGGUGAAAGGCCAAUCAAACCGGGAGAUAGCUGGUUCUCCCCGAAAGCUAUUUAGGUAGCGCCUCGUGAACUCAUCUUCGGGGGUAGAGCACUGUUUCGGCUAGGGGGCCAUCCCGGCUUACCAACCCGAUGCAAACUACGAAUACCGAAGAAUGUUAUCACGGGAGACACACGGCGGGUGCUAACGUCCGUCGUGAAGAGGGAAACAACCCAGACCGCCAGCUAAGGUCCCAAAGUCAUGGUUAAGUGGGAAACGAUGUGGGAAGGCCCAGACAGCCAGGAUGUUGGCUUAGAAGCAGCCAUCAUUUAAAGAAAGCGUAAUAGCUCACUGGUCGAGUCGGCCUGCGCGGAAGAUGUAACGGGGCUAAACCAUGCACCGAAGCUGCGGCAGCGACGCUUAUGCGUUGUUGGGUAGGGGAGCGUUCUGUAAGCCGUUGAAGGUGGCCUGUGAGGGUUGCUGGAGGUAUCAGAAGUGCGAAUGCUGACAUAAGUAACGAUAAAGCGGGUGAAAAGCCCGCUCGCCGGAAGACCAAGGGUUCCUGUCCAACGUUAAUCGGGGCAGGGUGAGUCGACCCCUAAGGCGAGGCCGAAAGGCGUAGUCGAUGGGAAACAGGUUAAUAUUCCUGUACUUGGUGUUACUGCGAAGGGGGGACGGAGAAGGCUAUGUUAGCCGGGCGACGGUUGUCCCGGUUUAAGCAUGUAGGCGGAGGUUCCAGGUAAAUCCGGUACCUUUUAACGCUGAGGUGUGAUGACGAGGCACUACGGUGCUGAAGUAACAAAUGCCCUGCUUCCAGGAAAAGCCUCUAAGCAUCAGGUAACACGAAAUCGUACCCCAAACCGACACAGGUGGUCAGGUAGAGAAUACCAAGGCGCUUGAGAGAACUCGGGUGAAGGAACUAGGCAAAAUGGUGCCGUAACUUCGGGAGAAGGCACGCUGAUAUGUAGGUGAAGCCCCUGCGGGUGGAGCUGAAAUCAGUCGAAGAUACCAGCUGGCUGCAACUGUUUAUUAAAAACACAGCACUGUGCAAACACGAAAGUGGACGUAUACGGUGUGACGCCUGCCCGGUGCCGGAAGGUUAAUUGAUGGGGUUAGCGGUAACGCGAAGCUCUUGAUCGAAGCCCCGGUAAACGGCGGCCGUAACUAUAACGGUCCUAAGGUAGCGAAAUUCCUUGUCGGGUAAGUUCCGACCUGCACGAAUGGCGUAAUGAUGGCCAGGCUGUCUCCACCCGAGACUCAGUGAAAUUGAACUCGCUGUGAAGAUGCAGUGUACCCGCGGCAAGACGGAAAGACCCCGUGAACCUUUACUAUAGCUUGACACUGAACACUGGUCCUUGAUGUGUAGGAUAGGUGGGAGGCUUUGAAGCGUGGACGCCAGUCUGCGUGGAGCCAUCCUUGAAAUACCACCCUUUAAUGGCUGGUGUUCUAACGUAGACCCGUAAUCCGGGUUGCGGACAGUGUCUGGUGGGUAGUUUGACUGGGGCGGUCUCCUCCCAAAGAGUAACGGAGGAGCACGAAGGUUAGCUAAUCCUGGUCGGACAUCAGGAGGUUAGUGCAAUGGCAUAAGCUAGCUUGACUGCGAGAGUGACGGCUCGAGCAGGUGCGAAAGCAGGUCAUAGUGAUCCGGUGGUUCUGAAUGGAAGGGCCAUCGCUCAACGGAUAAAAGGUACUCCGGGGAUAACAGGCUGAUACCGCCCAAGAGUUCAUAUCGACGGCGGUGUUUGGCACCUCGAUGUCGGCUCAUCACAUCCUGGGGCUGAAGUAGGUCCCAAGGGUAUGGCUGUUCGCCAUUUAAAGUGGUACGCGAGCUGGGUUUAGAACGUCGUGAGACAGUUCGGUCCCUAUCUGCCGUGGGCGCUGGAGAAUUGAGGGGGGCUGCUCCUAGUACGAGAGGACCGGAGUGGACGCAUCACUGGUGUUCGGGUUGUCAUGCCAAUGGCACUGCCCGGUAGCUAAAUGCGGAAGAGAUAAGUGCUGAAAGCAUCUAAGCACGAAACUUGCCCCGAGAUGAGUUCUCCCUGAGACUUAAAGUCUCCUGAAGGAACGUUGAAGACGACGACGUUGAUAGGUCGGGUGUGUAAGCGCAGCGAUGCGUUGAGCUAACCGAUACUAAUGAACCGUGAGGCUUAACCUU
Molecule: ribosomal RNA, 2904 nt
Filed under: Enterobacter cloacae
Lineage: Bacteria; Pseudomonadati; Pseudomonadota; Gammaproteobacteria; Enterobacterales; Enterobacteriaceae
Description: 23S ribosomal RNA
Rfam family: Bacterial large subunit ribosomal RNA
Source: RNAcentral